Molecule: ribosomal RNA, 350 nt
Filed under: uncultured Mangrovibacter sp.
Lineage: Bacteria; Pseudomonadati; Pseudomonadota; Gammaproteobacteria; Enterobacterales; Enterobacteriaceae
Description: bacterial SSU rRNA
Rfam family: Bacterial small subunit ribosomal RNA
Source: RNAcentral
GUAGUCCACGCCGUAAACGAUGUCGACUUGGAGGCUGUGCCCUUGAGGCGUGGCUUCCGGAGCUAACGCGUUAAGUCGACCGCCUGGGGAGUACGGCCGCAAGGUUAAAACUCAAAUGAAUUGACGGGGGCCCGCACAAGCGGUGGAGCAUGUGGUUUAAUUCGAUGCAACGCGAAGAACCUUACCUGGUCUUGACAUCCAGAGAAUCCUGCAGAGAUGCGGGAGUGCCUUCGGGAACUCUGAGACAGGUGCUGCAUGGCUGUCGUCAGCUCGUGUUGUGAAAUGUUGGGUUAAGUCCCGCAACGAGCGCAACCCUUAUCCUUUGUUGCCAGCGGUUAGGCCGGGAACUC